This 402-nucleotide ribosomal RNA is filed under the name uncultured bacterium. RNAcentral describes it as "bacterial SSU rRNA". It matches the Rfam family "Bacterial small subunit ribosomal RNA", at positions 355 to 774 of the family's 1533-position model. The record is from RNAcentral.
UGGGGAAUAUUGCACAAUGGAGGAAACUCUGAUGCAGCGACGCCGCGUGAGUGAAGAAGUAAUUCGUUAUGUAAAGCUCUAUCAGCAGGGAAGAUAGUGACGGUACCUGACUAAGAAGCUCCGGCUAAAUACGUGCCAGCAGCCGCGGUAAUACGUAUGGAGCAAGCGUUAUCCGGAUUUACUGGGUGUAAAGGGAGUGUAGGUGGCCAUGCAAGUCAGAAGUGAAAAUCCGGGGCUCAACCCCGGAACUGCUUUUGAAACUGUGAGGCUGGAGUGCAGGAGGGGUGAGUGGAAUUCCUAGUGUAGCGGUGAAAUGCGUAGAUAUUAGGAGGAACACCAGUGGCGAAGGCGGCUCACUGGACUGUAACUGACACUGAGGCUCGAAAGCGUGGGGAGCAAACA